RNAcentral lists this ribosomal RNA (254 nucleotides) under Salmonella enterica subsp. enterica. RNAcentral describes it as "partial 23S ribosomal RNA". It matches the Rfam family "Bacterial large subunit ribosomal RNA", at positions 1 to 247 of the family's 2925-position model. Lineage: Bacteria; Pseudomonadati; Pseudomonadota; Gammaproteobacteria; Enterobacterales; Enterobacteriaceae. The record is from RNAcentral.
AUUGUGUGUGAAAGUUUCCAAGGGCGCAUGGUGGAUGCCUUGGCAACAGGAGCCGAAGAAGGACGUGGGAAUCUGCGAUAAGCCUGGUGGAGUCGAUAACCGGACGUUGAGACCAGGAUUUCCGAAUGGGGAAACCCCGCACGACGUGUCGUGUGACCCCCGGUUGAACACAUAGACCGGGUGGAGGGAACGUGGGGAAGUGAAACAUCUCAGUACCCACAGGAAGAGAAAACAAAAGUGAUUCCGUUAGUAGU